AGGUUGAGGAGCUUGCUCCGAAAACCUAGCGGCGAACGGUCGCGUAACACGUAAGCAACCUGCCCUGAAGUGGGGGAUAGCCCGCCGAAAGGCGGAUUAAUACCGCAUGUGAACACUUUCUCGCAUGUUAGAGUGUUUAAAGCAGCAAUGCGCUUCAGGAUGGGCUUGCGGCCUAUCAGCUAGUUGGUGGGGUAACGGCCUACCAAGGCGACGACGGGUAGCUGGUCUGAGAGGAUGGUCAGCCGGACUGGGACUGAGACACGGCCCAGACUCCUACGGGGGGCAGCAAUUAGGAAUCUUGCGCAAUGGGCGAAAGCCUGACGCAGCGACGUCGCGUGACUGAUGAAGUCCUUCGGGAUGUAAAGGUCUUUUGCAGGGGAAGAAGGAUGUGACGGUACCCUGCGAAUAAGCCCCGGCUAACUACGUGCCAGCAGCCGCGGUAAUACGUAGGGGGCGAGCGUUGUCCGAAUUUACUGGGCGUAAAGCGCGCGUAGGCGGGUUAUUAAGUUGGUGGUGAAAUCCCGAGGCUCAACCUCGGAACUGCCUCCAAAACUGGUAGCCUUGAGGUAUGGAGAGGGAAGUGGAAUUCCUGGUGUAGCGGUGAAAUGCGUAGAUAUCAGGAGGAACACCUGUGGCGAAGGCGGCUUCCUGGCCAUAUCCUGACGCUGAGGUGCGAAAGCUAGGGGAGCGAACGGGAUUAGAUACCCCGGUAGUCCUAGCCGUAAACGAUGGAUACUAGGUGUUAGAGGUAUCGACCCCUCUAGUGCCGGAGCUAACGCAUUAAGUAUCCCGCCUGGGGAG
This 801-nucleotide ribosomal RNA is filed under the name uncultured bacterium. Its description in RNAcentral is "bacterial SSU rRNA". It matches the Rfam family "Bacterial small subunit ribosomal RNA", at positions 68 to 880 of the family's 1533-position model. The record is from RNAcentral.